RNAcentral lists this ribosomal RNA (836 nucleotides) under uncultured archaeon. Its description in RNAcentral is "bacterial SSU rRNA". It matches the Rfam family "Archaeal small subunit ribosomal RNA", at positions 21 to 859 of the family's 1478-position model. The record is from RNAcentral.
GGUUACUGCUAUCGGUGUUCGACUAAGCCAUGCGAGUCAAAUGUUCUUCGUGAACAUGGCGGACUGCUCAGUAACACGUGGAUAACCUGCCCUUAGGUUCGGCAUAACUCCGGGAAACUGGAGAUAAUUCCGAAUAGGUCAAAUAUGCUGGAAUGCUUUUUGGCCAAAAGACUUCGGUUGCCUAAGGAUGGAUCUGCGGUCUAUCAGGUAGUAGUGGGUGUAACGUACCUACUAGCCUACGACGGAUAUGGGUUGUGAGAGCAAGAGCCCAGAGAUGGAUUCUGAGACAUGAAUCCAGGCCCUACGGGGCGCAGCAGGCGCGAAAACUUUACAAUGCGGGAAACCGCGAUAAGGGGACACCGAGUGCCAGCAUUUAUGUUGGCUGUCCACAUGUGUAAACGGCAUGUGUUAGCAAGGGCCGGGCAAGACCGGUGCCAGCCGCCGCGGUAACACCGGCGGCCCGAGUGGUAAUCACUUUUAUUGGGUCUAAAGGGUCCGUAGCCGGUUUGAUCAGUUCUUCGGGAAAUCUGACAGCUCAACUGUUAGGCUUCCGGGGAAUACUGUCAGACUUGGGACCGGGAGAGGUAAGAGGUACUACAGGGGUAGGAGUGAAAUCUUGUAAUCCCUGUGGGACCACCAGUGGCGAAGGCGUCUUACCAGAACGGGUCCGACGGUGAGGGACGAAAGCUGGGGGCACGAACCGGAUUAGAUACCCGGGUAGUCCCAGCCGUAAACGAUGUUCGCUAGGUGUCAGGGGCGGUGCGACCGCUUCUGGUGCCGUAGGGAAGCCGUGAAGCGAACCACCUGGGAAGUACGGCCGCAAGGCUGAAACUUAA